UGCUUAUACAUGCAAGUCGAACGAGGUCCAACCGGUGGCAACACUGGUGAAGACCUAGUGGCGAACGGGUGAGUAGCACGUGAGCAACCUGCCCCGAAGACUGGGAUAACACCGGGAAACCGGUGCUAAUACCGGAUGCCCCCAUCGGAUCGCAUGAUCUGAUGAGGAAAGGAUUCUGCUUCGGGAGGGGCUCGCGGCCUAUCAGCUUGAUGGUGAGGUAACGGCUCACCAUGGCGACGACGGGUAGCUGGUCUGAGAGGACGAUCAG
RNAcentral lists this ribosomal RNA (268 nucleotides) under uncultured Acidimicrobiales bacterium. RNAcentral's name for it is "partial 16S ribosomal RNA". It matches the Rfam family "Bacterial small subunit ribosomal RNA", at positions 48 to 307 of the family's 1533-position model. Lineage: Bacteria; Bacillati; Actinomycetota; Acidimicrobiia; Acidimicrobiales. The record is from RNAcentral.